CCUGGAAUAACACGAGGAAACUUGUGCUAAUACCGGAUAAGUCUUUACGGAGAAAGCUUUAUGCACCAUUGGAUGAGCCCGCACUUGAUUAGUUUGUUGGUAGGGUAAUGGCCUACCAAGACUAUGAUCAAUAGCUGAUUUGAGAGGAUGAUCAGCCACAUUGGGACUGAGACACGGCCCAAACUCCUACGGGAGGCAGCAGUGGGGAAUCUUGCACAAUGGAGGAAACUCUGAUGCAGCGAUGCCGCGUGAGUGAAGAAGGCCUUUGGGUUGUAAAGCUCUUUCGUCGGGGAAGAAAAUGACUGUACCCGAAUAAG
RNAcentral lists this ribosomal RNA (317 nucleotides) under uncultured bacterium. RNAcentral describes it as "bacterial SSU rRNA". It matches the Rfam family "Bacterial small subunit ribosomal RNA", at positions 137 to 487 of the family's 1533-position model. The record is from RNAcentral.